Hypanus sabinus (Atlantic stingray) is the source of this 1178-nucleotide long non-coding RNA. RefSeq lists it as uncharacterized. The transcript is spliced from 2 exons. The record is from RefSeq and is a predicted model, not a curated record. Lineage: Eukaryota; Metazoa; Chordata; Chondrichthyes; Myliobatiformes; Dasyatidae.
GGUAAGGACUGAGAACACAGGAAACAGGAAAAGGAAAAUGCCAGUUGGCUCCCUGACCCAGGAUAGAGGAAGAUUAAGUACUUUCAAGCUGAGGAAAGGAUCAAUUCUGAUUGGGAGAAUUGUUUUUUUUCAUUGAAAAGCGGAACUGACAUAUCUUAACAUGUAAGAAUUACUUCAAUUGUUUUUAAAUAGCUGUCCUUUUAACACUAGAAUCUGAUUAGAAAAUAAUCUUUCUGUUGGUGUGCAAGAAUGCUGGGAAAAGCAUUUGAUUCAUGGUAAAAGCAAAAUUUCAUUUACAAGCAUAUUUACAAAUCUAUUUCCAUCUCUUCUGUUUUUUCUCAACAGUUACUAUAGAUCAAAAUCUCGAAAAGAAUGAUGAAUGUGGAAUGUGAAGUCAUUGGAUACAUUUUUAUUCACUUUUUAUUUAGUGGAGGUUGUUAAGUUUCUUGAUUAGUAAAGGUGUCAAAUGUAGUGGGGAGAAUGGGGCUGAGAGGGAAAAUAAAUCAGCCAUGAUAGAAUGGCAGAGCAGACUUGAUGGACUGAAUGGCUUAACUCUGCUUCUUUUGUCUUAUGGUUUUACAUUGAAAGUCUCAUGCAAAGCUUCACCUGCUCUUGGGAACUGGGACAGGACAAGUGACAGAUGUCAGUGCAGGAGCACUUUGGGAUCAGUAGCCAUUGUUCUAUUAGUGUUAAAUUAAAGUUGGAAAGGUACAUAACUGGGUCACAAGUUAAAGUUCUAUAGCAACUGACAAAAGUAGAUUAGAAUAGGUUGUAUGCAGGUGUAACAUCCUGAAGAAAGAUUUCACUGCUGAUGUAAUGCUCUUGUAGAAGCUAUGUUUGGAUUAUGGUUAGAGAUAAUGGGUGCUUUGGAAUGUGAGCCAUCCAAUGACGGGAGUGUGUUUUUGUGCCGUGUGCCUGACACUGGGGUGAUCUGGGUCUUUUGUUUGGCGGGAGAUGAAGGGAGAAGAUACCAGAGAGAAGAGGUCGUAGGACUCGACCCAGAGCAGAGCCAUGAUCCAACGAAGGCUGGGGUGAUCAAAAGAGGAUCGGCGAAGGGGAAACUGUGAACUCCAACUUGUGCACAUUAGACUGUUUAAUUAAAAUUGGUACUUUUCUUAUUUUGCCUUUUCUUCACUAACCCUAUAGUCAAAUUAAGAAUUAUAAACUGAAUCAUUUAA